This 254-nucleotide ribosomal RNA is filed under the name uncultured bacterium. RNAcentral's name for it is "partial 16S ribosomal RNA". It matches the Rfam family "Bacterial small subunit ribosomal RNA", at positions 524 to 777 of the family's 1533-position model. The record is from RNAcentral.
UACGAAGGGGGCUAGCGUUGCUCGGAAUUACUGGGCGUAAAGCGCACGUAGGCGGCUCUUUAAGUCGGGGGUGAAAUCCUGGAGCUCAACUCCAGAACUGCCUUCGAUACUGGAGAGCUCGAGUCCGGGAGAGGUGAGUGGAACUGCGAGUGUAGAGGUGAAAUUCGUAGAUAUUCGCAAGAACACCAGUGGCGAAGGCGGCUCACUGGCCCGGUACUGACGCUGAGGUGCGAAAGCGUGGGGAGCAAACAGGA